CCAAAGGUUUCUGUUGAAACCACUGCACAAAAAAUAUUUGUGUGUAG
Non-coding RNA from Phalacrocorax carbo (great cormorant), 47 nucleotides. Lineage: Eukaryota; Metazoa; Chordata; Aves; Suliformes; Phalacrocoracidae. The record is from Rfam.